AGAGUUUGAUCCUGGCUCAGAUUGAACGCUGGCGGAAUUCUUUACACAUGCAAGUCGAACGGCAGCACGGGUGCUUGCACCUGGUGGCGAGUGGCGAACGGGUGAGUAAUACAUAGGAACAAACCCAGUAAUGGGGGAUAACGCCGAGAAAUCGGUGCUAAUACCGCAUACGCCCUGAGGGGGAAAGCGGGGGAUCUUCGGACCUCGCGUUAUUGGAUUGGCCUAUGUCUGAUUAGCUAGUUGGUGAGGUAAAGGCUCACCAAGGCGACGAUCAGUAGCUGGUCUGAGAGGAUGAUCAGCCACACUGGAACUGAGAUACGGUCCAGACUCCUAUGGGAGGCAGCAGUGGGGAAUUUUGGACAAUGGGCGAAAGCCUGAUCCAGCCAUUCCGCGUGAGUGAAGAAGGCCUUCGGGUUGUAAAGCUCUUUCGGCAGGAAAGAAAUCGUUACUCUUAAUACGAGUGAUGGAUGAUGGUACCUGAAGAAGAAGCACCGGCUAACUACGUGCCAGCAGUUGCGGUAAUACGUAGGGUGCGAGCGUUAAUCGGAAUUACUGGGCGUAAAGCGUGCGCAGGCGGUUUUGUAAGUCAGAUGUGAAAGCCCCGGGCUCAACCUGGGAAUGGCGUUUGAAACUACAAGGCUAGAGUGUGUCAGAGGGGGGUAGAAUUCCACGUGUAGCAGUGAAAUGCGUAGAGAUGUGGAGGAAUACCGAUGGCGAAGGCAGCCCCCUGGGAUAACACUGACGCUCAUGCACGAAAGCGUGGGGAGCAAACAGGAUUAGAUACCCUGGUAGUCCACGCCCUAAACGAUGUCAACUAGUUGUCGGGAGGGUAACCCUCUUGGUAACGCAGCUAACGCGUGAAGUUGACCGCCUGG
Molecule: ribosomal RNA, 875 nt
Filed under: uncultured bacterium
Lineage: Bacteria
Description: bacterial SSU rRNA
Rfam family: Bacterial small subunit ribosomal RNA
Source: RNAcentral